Molecule: ribosomal RNA, 451 nt
Filed under: uncultured bacterium
Lineage: Bacteria
Description: bacterial SSU rRNA
Rfam family: Bacterial small subunit ribosomal RNA
Source: RNAcentral
AACGAACGCUGGCGGCAUGCCCAACACAUGCAAGUCGAACGCGUGUAGCGAUACACGAGUGGCGGACGGGUGAGUAACGCGUGGGAACCUGCCCAAUGGUAGGGAAUAACUGCGGGAAACUGCAGCUAAUACCCUAUGCUCCCUACGGGGGAAAGAUUCAUCGCCAUUGGAGGGGCCCGCGUCGGAUUAGCUAGUUGGCGGGGUAAUGGCCCACCAAGGCUACGAUCCGUAGCUGGCUGAGAGGAUGAUCAGCCACACUGGGACUGAGAUACGGCCCAGACUCCUACGGGAGGCAGCAGUGGGGAAUAUUGGACAAUGGGGGAAACCCUGAUCCAGCAAUGCCGCGUGAGUGAAGAAGGCCUUAGGGUUGUAAAGCUCUUUCGGCGGGGACGAUGGUGACGGUACCCGCAGAAGAAGCCCCGGCUAACUUCGUGCCAGCCGCCGCAGUAAG